Long non-coding RNA from Empidonax traillii (willow flycatcher), 207 nucleotides. RefSeq lists it as uncharacterized. The record is from RefSeq and is a predicted model, not a curated record. The transcript has 3 exons. Lineage: Eukaryota; Metazoa; Chordata; Aves; Passeriformes; Tyrannidae.
GUAGUGCUCUCCGAAGUUGCAGAGGGGUAACUGCUGAGGCUCUCUCUGCACACAGACACGCCACAGAGAGAGACUGAGAUCAUUUUGUCCUCUCUCCUGCUCCCGGUGCUGGGCUGUACCCUGAGAUGAGCUAUUUUCGAAGCAAAGUGUCCACAUGAGCAAGCUAACGUGAAAGACCAGUCCAAAAAGAAGCGCUUCAACUCUUUU